AGUUUGAUCCUGGCUCAGAUUGAACGCUGGCGGCAUGCCUUACACAUGCAAGUCGAACGGCAGCACGGGAGCUUGCUCCUGGUGGCGAGUGGCGAACGGGUGAGUAAUACAUCGGAACGUACCCUGAAGUGGGGGAUAACGUAGCGAAAGUUACGCUAAUACCGCAUAUUCUGUGAGCAGGAGAGAGGGGGAUCGCAAGACCUCUUGCUUUAGGAGCGGCCGAUGUCGGAUUAGCUAGUUGGUGAGGUAAAGGCUCACCAAGGCGACGAUCCGUAGCGGGUCUGAGAGGAUGAUCCGCCACACUGGGACUGAGACACGGCCCAGACUCCUACGGGAGGCAGCAGUGGGGAAUUUUGGACAAUGGGCGCAAGCCUGAUCCAGCCAUGCCGCGUGAGUGAAGAAGGCCUUCGGGUUGUAAAGCUCUUUCGGUGGGGAAGAAAUUGCUUCGGUUAAUACCUGGAGUAGAUGACGGUACCCGCAUAAGAAGCACCGGCUAACUACGUG
RNAcentral lists this ribosomal RNA (504 nucleotides) under uncultured bacterium. Its description in RNAcentral is "bacterial SSU rRNA". It matches the Rfam family "Bacterial small subunit ribosomal RNA", at positions 10 to 507 of the family's 1533-position model. The record is from RNAcentral.